RNAcentral lists this ribosomal RNA (301 nucleotides) under uncultured bacterium. RNAcentral describes it as "partial 16S ribosomal RNA". It matches the Rfam family "Bacterial small subunit ribosomal RNA", at positions 509 to 807 of the family's 1533-position model. The record is from RNAcentral.
CAGUAGCCGCGGGAAUACGUAGGGUGCAUGCGUUAAUCGGAAUUACUGGGCGUAAAGCGUGCGCAGGCGGUUCGCUAAGACAGAUGUGAAAUCCCCGGGCUUAACCUGGGAACUGCAUUUGUGACUGGCGGGCUAGAGUAUGGCAGAGGGGGGUAGAAUUCCACGUGUAGCAGUGAAAUGCGUAGAGAUGUGGUGGAAUACCGAUGGCGAAGGCAGCCCCCUGGGCCAAUACUGACGCUCAUGCACGAAAGCGUGGGGAGCAAACAGGAUUAGAUACCCCGGUAGUCCCUGUCUCUUAUAC